Ooceraea biroi (clonal raider ant) is the source of this 693-nucleotide RNA transcript. It is a transcript of the gene named ribosomal protein S24, with no coding region annotated. Lineage: Eukaryota; Metazoa; Arthropoda; Insecta; Hymenoptera; Formicidae. The record is from RefSeq and is a predicted model, not a curated record.
CUCUAUUAGCGUAGAUGGCAGUGCACAUUUCCGUACGUGUCUUUUAAUGCCUUUCUCUGAGUCGUGAAGCGGUGUGCUAAAUAAGCAAAAUGACGGAAGGUACAGUUACUAUUCGAACGAGGAAGUUCAUGACCAAUCGGCUCUUAUGCCGCAAACAAAUGGUCGUAGAUGUUAUCCAUCCUGGCCAGCCAUCGAUUCGUAAAACUGAGAUACGUGAGAAGCUCGCGAAAAUGUACAAAGUAACGCCAGACGUGGUCUUUGUGUUUGGCUUCCAAACCAACUUUGGUGGUGGCAAAUCUACUGGCUUCGCACUCGUCUACGACACCUUGGACUUUGCUAAGAAAUUCGAACCUAAAUAUAGGUUAGCAAGGCAUGGCCUGUUUGAAAAACAGAAGCAAACCAGAAAGCAGCGUAAAGAACGCAAGAACAGAAUGAAGAAGGUUAGGGGUACUAAGAAGAGCAAAGUUGGAGCAGCAUCUAAAAAGGGAAGGAAGUAGACAAAUGCUCAUCAUUUGCACUACAAACUUCUGGAGAAGCAGUAUCUUUAUGAUGCUUAAUCGGGUAAAUCCAUAGUAAAGUCAUCAUGAAGAACACGGUUUGCUUACCAACGACGUAAAAAUUAUUAUAAUAUUUUACUAUUGAUGUAAUUAUAAUAAAUUUACAAAAAUAAACCUGUAUACUUCUUGAUGAGAA